This 524-nucleotide ribosomal RNA is filed under the name uncultured bacterium. RNAcentral describes it as "bacterial SSU rRNA". It matches the Rfam family "Bacterial small subunit ribosomal RNA", at positions 1 to 526 of the family's 1533-position model. The record is from RNAcentral.
AUUAGAGUUUGAUCCUGGCUCAGGAUGAACGCUGGCGGCGUGCCUAACACAUGCAAGUCGAACGGAACUUACAAGCGGAAGUUUUCGGAUGGAAGCUUAUAAGUUUAGUGGCGGACGGGUGAGUAACGCGUGAGCAAUCUACCUCUCAGUGGGGGAUAACACAUCGAAAGGUGUGCUAAUACCGCAUAAUAUAACGGGAUCGCAUGGUUCUGUUAUCAAAGAUAUAUUGCUGAGAGAUGAGCUCGCGUCUGAUUAGAUAGUUGGUGAGGUAAAGGCCCACCAAGUCGACGAUCAGUAGCCGGACUGAGAGGUUGAACGGCCACAUUGGGACUGAGACACGGCCCAGACUCCUACGGGAGGCAGCAGUGGGGAAUAUUGCACAAUGGGGGAAACCCUGAUGCAGCAACGCCGCGUGAAGGAUGAAGGUUUUCGGAUUGUAAACUUCUUUUGUACGGGACGAAACAAAUGACGGUACCGUAAGAAUAAGCCACGGCUAACUACGUGCCAGCAGCCGCGGUAAUAAU